AACUUACCCCAUCCAAAGACACCAGUAUUAAGCAAAUUUCUUUUUUUACUACCUUUUUAAUAUAGUUUUGGGUCAUUUAGUUCUAAAGUUAGAUUUGUUUUUCCAAUUAUUUUUUAGAACUUCAUUACUUGCCAUUUCGCUAACUGAAGAGCUGCGCUUUGUGAUGUCUCUUGUUUUAUUGUUUUAAAUUGUGUUUUCCUUUAUCUGUUUCUAGCUGUUUUCGCAAAGUCAGCCAACCACUUGCUUCCAAAUGACCCUUAUCCAGAAGUAUCCGUGAGUGCCUCAUCAACAGAAACUAAAGUGGAGACCUACCUCUCAGAGAAAAACGCACACAUAAGAAAAGCCGACCCACUUCAGUACUGGGAAGAACAUCCUAAUCUGUUUCCCUCUAUGGCUGCUGUUGCGAUCCCAGUGUGCCCCUGUAGCUCUGUGGACAGUUUUGGAUUUGUUUACAUCUCACCCAACCGCUCACGGCAGAUGGCUGCACCUCUCUAAGCCUGGUUCUGCCGGAGGUUUCUUCCUGUUAAAAGGGAGUUUUUCUGAACACACUCUACCACCAACAAGGACAGCUCACCAGUGGGAACUGAUAGAAAGACUGCUGAUGCUCUCAUCCAUUGAAGAGCUGACCAGAAAUGUGAUCAGAGAGAUGCACUGCACCUGAUGGGAUCCCUGCCAUAACAGAUGUGUUCUGUCCAGUGAAGGCAGUGGAGAAGCCCUACACUGAUCUUGAAACUGUGCCACGCUAGUAGAGACCGGCUACAAGGAUGGGCAGCUGUUUUCGCAAAGUCAGCCAACCACUUGCUUCCAAAUGACCCUUAUCCAGAAGUAUCCGUGAGUGCCUCAUCAACAGAAACUAAAGUGGAGACCUACCUCUCAGAGAAAAACGCACACAUAAGAAAAGCCGACCCACUUCAGUACUGGAAGAACAUCCUAAUCUGUUUCCCUCUAUGGCUGCUGUUGCGAUCCCAGUGUGCCCCCUGUAGCUCUGUGGACAGUUUUGGAUUUGUUUACAUCUCCCCAACCGGUCGCGGCAGAUGGCCGCCCUCCCUGAGCCUGGUUCUGCCGGAGGUUUCUUCCUGUCAAAGGGAGUUUUUCCUUCCCACUGUCGCCAAAGUGCUUGCUCAUAGGGGGUCAUAUGAUUGUUGGGUUUAUUAUAUACAUUAAUGCUUGUAUGCUUUUCAUUUAUACUUUGCCUUACUCUUCAGUUCAUAAUAUAAAGUUACUUGAAUGGUUUCCUUUUCGUUUUCCUUUUUUAUUUUAUAUUGCUUUGCUAUUUACCACAAUCUAAAUAUCAUGUUUAAAUGUCAUACAUUAUUGUAAAUGGUAUCUGUACAAAAUAUUGUUUGAAUAACAUGAUACAUUUAUUAGUCCCACAACGGGAAAUUUCAUAAUUUGCAUGUGGUAUUUUCCCUUUGACAUUAAAUACCUUUGAAAUAC
Long non-coding RNA from Oreochromis niloticus (Nile tilapia), 1437 nucleotides. Lineage: Eukaryota; Metazoa; Chordata; Actinopteri; Cichliformes; Cichlidae. The record is from Ensembl.